CAAAGAUUAAGCCAUGCAUGUCUAAGUACUAGCAUUAAUACUGUGAAACUGCGAAUGGCUCAUUAAAUCAGUUAUGAUCUACUUGGCAUUCUAACUGCUUUGCUGCUGGAUAACCGCGGUAAUUCUGGAGCUAAUACAUGUGUAUAUAACGGUCGACGCCGUUGCGUAUAUUAGAUAAAAACCAACCUGGGGUAAAACCUGGUCUUUGGUCGCUCAUAGUAUCCUUGCCGGUCUUCAGUUUAAUCUGGAGCCAGUUCAUUCGAUUUUCUGCCCUAUCAUUGCUUUUGAUUGCACGAUCGAGGCGUGCAAUGGCUUCUACGGGUAACGGGGAAUAAGGGUUCGAUUCCGGAGAGGGAGCCUGAGAAACGGCUACCACAUCCAAGGAAGGCAGCAGGCGCGCAAAUUACCCAAUCCCGACACGGGGAGGUAGUGACAAUAAAUAACAAUGCAGGGCUUCUUAGUCUUGCAAUUGGAAUGAGUACAAUUUAAAUCCUUUAACGAGGAUCAAUUGGAGGGCAAGUCUGGUGCCAGCAGCCGCGGUAAUUCCAGCUCCAAUAGCGUAUACUAAAGUUGUUGCAGUUAAAACGCCCGCAGUCGAAUUUUAGUCUGUAGGUUGCCAUAUCAGCAUUCAUUUGUUGAUGUUGGUCUAUCUGGGACUUUUGACUGGAUCUCUCUUGACUUCGGUCUUGAGGUCGAACCAGUUGAUUACCAUGAGCAAAUCAGAGUGUUUAAAGCAGGCUUUUUAGCUUGAAUGUGUUAGCAUGGAAUAAUGAAAUAUGAUCUUUGGUCUAUUUUCGUUGGUUCAAGGCCAAAAUAAUGAUGAAUAGGAGUGGUCGGGGGCAUUUGUAUUUGGGCGCUAGAGGUGAAAUUCUUGGAUUGCCCAAAGACAAACUACUGCGAAAGCAUUUGCCAAGGACGCUUCCGUUGAUCAGGGGCUAAGGUUAGGGGAUCGAAGACGAUUAGAUACCGUCGUAGUCUUAACAGCAAACUAUGCCGACUAGGGAUUGGACUUGGCUCUUAUGGCUUGUCCAGCACCUUAGCGAAAGCAAAGUUUUUGGGUUCUGGGGGGAGUACGGGACGCAAGGCUGAAACUUAAAGGAAUUGACGGAAGGGCACCACCAGGAGUGGAGCCUGCGGCU
Molecule: ribosomal RNA, 1139 nt
Filed under: Absidia idahoensis
Lineage: Eukaryota; Fungi; Mucoromycota; Mucoromycetes; Mucorales; Cunninghamellaceae
Also listed under: 1 other name
Description: SSU rRNA
Rfam family: Eukaryotic small subunit ribosomal RNA
Source: RNAcentral